Molecule: transfer RNA, 135 nt
Filed under: Sugarcane phytoplasma type B
Lineage: Bacteria; Bacillati; Mycoplasmatota; Mollicutes; Acholeplasmatales; Acholeplasmataceae
Description: transfer RNA-Ile
Source: RNAcentral
CCUCCUUUGUAAGGAAAAAAAUCAUUUCAGUUUUCCAAAUUACCUAUAUAAGUUUUUCUUUUAGGUAAAUUUUACCUUUUAAAGUUCUUUGAAAAGUAGAUAAAUAUAGCUUUUAGAAUUAUAGUGGAUUAAAGG